AGUGAACGCUGGCGGUAGGCCUAACACAUGCAAGUCGAACGGCAGCACAGUAAGAGCUUGCUCUUACGGGUGGCGAGUGGCGGACGGGUGAGGAAUACAUCGGAAUCUACUUUUUCGUGGGGGAUAACGUAGGGAAACUUACGCUAAUACCGCAUACGACCUACGGGUGAAAGCAGAGGAUCUUCGGACCUUGCGCGAUUGAAUGAGCCGAUGUCAGAUUAGCUAGUUGGCGGGGUAAAGGCCCACCAAGGCGACGAUCCGUAGCUGGUCUGAGAGGAUGAUCAGCCACACUGGAACUGAGACACGGUCCAGACUCCUACGGGAGGCAGCAGUGGGGAAUACUGGACAAUGGGCGCAAGCCUGAUCCAGCCAUACCGCGUGGGUGAAGAAGGCCUUCGGGUUGUAAAGCCCUUUUGUUGGGAAAGAAAAGCAGCAGGUUAAUACCCCGCUGUUCUGACGGUACCCAAAGAAUAAGCACCGGCUAACUUCGUG
This 492-nucleotide ribosomal RNA is filed under the name uncultured bacterium. RNAcentral's name for it is "partial 16S ribosomal RNA". It matches the Rfam family "Bacterial small subunit ribosomal RNA", at positions 29 to 507 of the family's 1533-position model. The record is from RNAcentral.